Molecule: small nuclear RNA, 197 nt
Filed under: Gossypium hirsutum (cotton)
Lineage: Eukaryota; Viridiplantae; Streptophyta; Magnoliopsida; Malvales; Malvaceae
Also listed under: 1 other name
Description: U2 spliceosomal RNA
Rfam family: U2 spliceosomal RNA
About the family: U2 is a small nuclear RNA (snRNA) component of the spliceosome (involved in pre-mRNA splicing). Complementary binding between U2 snRNA (in an area lying towards the 5' end but 3' to hairpin I) and the branchpoint sequence (BPS) of the intron results the bulging out of an unpaired adenosine, on the BPS, which initiates a nucleophilic attack at the intronic 5' splice site, thus starting the first of two transesterification reactions that mediate splicing.
Source: Rfam by way of RNAcentral
AUACCUUUCUCGGCCUUUUGGCUAAGAUCAAGUGUAGUAUCUGUUCUUAUCAGUUUAAUAUCUGAUACAUGGGCCAUUGGCCCACUCGAUAUUAAAUUUAGUUUUUGAGGGGGAGGAUCCAUUACGGUAGCUUGCUACUGGGGAUUCUCAGGCGUAGCCCAAGCUCUGCACUAUUGCUUUGGCCUGGCGCACCUCAC